GGGGGGAUUUGGGAACCCCCAGCCCCAAAUUCUGCGGCAGCGGGGGCUGGGCUGGAUCAGGCACUUCUGGGCACUGCGGGGAGGGGACAGGGACGGACAGAGGGACGGACAGGGAUGGACAGAGGGAUGGACAGAGGGAUGGACACAGGGAUGGACAGGGAGGGACAUGGGGGGGACAGGGAUGGACAGAGGGAUGGACACAGGAUGGACAGAGGGAUGGACACAGGGAUGGACACAGGAUGGACGCUGCAUCCACAGCCCUGCUGUCCCAUCCCGCUGUCCCAGCCCUGCCCUGUCCCCAGCCCCGGGUGCCCACAC
Molecule: long non-coding RNA, 318 nt
Filed under: Zonotrichia albicollis (white-throated sparrow)
Lineage: Eukaryota; Metazoa; Chordata; Aves; Passeriformes; Passerellidae
Description: lncRNA (ENSZALG00000001258.1)
Source: RNAcentral